GGGGGCGUACUUGGUUUCGACGGGGGUAUGUUGUAUUUAGGAAGCGAGUCGAGGGAACCUGUGGGCCCGCGUUAAAAAACUAUGGGAUUAAAUGUAAACGCAAACGAUAAUUUUGCAUUAGCAGCUUAGUCUGCUACGUUCUACCUUUGAGUACCGCGGCUUAGGAUAGAGCGUCGACAGCGGUGAAACGAGCCUGUGUAAGCUUUGCCACAGGAACGGAAUUUAUGAAGCUACUGAAGCUGAAAGCCUGUCCAUGGGCGUUCAGUGGAGGGAAUGUUAAAAUGUGGACUGCACUCGGAGAUGCCUAAGUAUUACGACUUUCGGACAUGGGUUCGACACCCAUCGCCUCCACCA
Non-coding RNA from Clostridium carboxidivorans P7, 354 nucleotides. It matches the Rfam family "transfer-messenger RNA". Rfam says of the family: Bacterial tmRNA, also known as 10Sa RNA or SsrA, is named for its dual tRNA and mRNA-like properties. The record is from Rfam. NCBI's taxonomy places the organism in Bacteria, Bacillati, Bacillota, Clostridia, Eubacteriales, Clostridiaceae.